RNAcentral lists this ribosomal RNA (253 nucleotides) under uncultured bacterium. Its description in RNAcentral is "partial 16S ribosomal RNA". It matches the Rfam family "Bacterial small subunit ribosomal RNA", at positions 524 to 776 of the family's 1533-position model. The record is from RNAcentral.
UACGUAGGGGGCGAGCGUUGUCCGGAUUUAUUGGGCGUAAAGGGCGUGUAGGCGGCCAGAUAAGUCGGGAGUGAAACCCCGGGGCUUAACCCCGGGCCUGCUUCCGAAACUGUAUGGCUUGAGUGCUCUAGAGGGCAGUGGAAUUCCCGGUGUAGCAGUGAAAUGCGUAGAGAUCGGGAGGAACACCAGUGGCGAAGGCGACUGCCUGGGGAGUAACUGACGCUGAGGCGCGAAAGCUAGGGGAGCGAACAGG